ACCUUCAUGGGUCCUAAAUACAAACUAAUUAACUGUCUAGUGUAGUUCUGGAACAUCUCCCACCACCUACCUCUCCAGCCAUACCUGGGCAGUUCUUGUCUUGUGACUGUUGGUCAUAUAAAUUCCUACCUUUUCUUCAAGGCCCACCCCGAAUCCCUCCUCCCUACGGAAGACUCCUCAGUUACGGCCCACGAAGCCUGAACUCCUGCGGUAUAUACACUGGGUGUCCACUUAGCACUGAACAUGUUCUCCCUCCCUGCUUUUACCUCUUUAAGUGUUUGGUUUGUCUCAGAUUAGGUGGCCUACUUGUAUUCCUCUGCUCCAGUAAGUCACCCAUGGCAGGCUAGGACAUCCUACUUGUUGCAGGCCUCUGGUACAGCAAGACUGUCUUCACUGCCUUGGCUUUUCAUGACGUGAAAACAUCGUGGUGUAAGGGUUCCUUAGCAGCCACUCCAUUUGCAAAUUGGUAGAGUUGGGAUGGAAGAGUGGAUGGGAGUGGAUAAAACAGUCUGACUACAAAUCUCUAAAUCAGACAAAAAAAAAUGUUUUAAGAUUUUAUUUAUUUAUUCAUGAGAGACACAAAGUCAGAGAUACAGGCAAAGGGAGAGGCAGGCUCCAUGCAGGGAUCCCAACGCGGAACCCAAUCCUGGGUUCCCAGGAUCACACCGGGGACCGAAGGUGGCACUAAACCACUGAGCCAUCCAGGCUGCCCCAGACAAAAUGUUUAAUUAUAGUCCUUUCCUCUCUGGUCCCUAGUAUGGUAAUCUUCCUUCCUGAAUAUGCUCUGUGAUUUUUCACUUUGUAUCAGUGAAUAUGUUUUCAUGAUAAGUCAUCUGAAACCCUCCUUGAAAGUAGCUGGGGUAGGAAUAAUUUCUCCGUAAGUCUCAGUGACAGAGCCAGAUAUACUACUCUUGGUUUUAUCUCUUUAUUCUUUAGCUCCUUUUAUACUGGCUUCUACUCAUUAAAUCUUAUAUUAAGUGAAACAGAUGGAGCUUUAUUAAUGGCUUUAAAGCUGUAUCUCCAGGGCUAAUCUCAGAGCCUUCUAAUCCUCUACAUUUUAUAUUUUGGGUUGCAAGGAAGUUUUCGGGGGGGGGGGAUAUUUCUUGGUUUGAUAUUCAUACAUCAAGCUCUGAGAUGCUGGACUUAUAUUUGAAUGCAGGUUUGACUCAGAACUUUUUUUUUUAAGAUUUUAUUUAUAUAUUUGAGAGAGAAUGUGUGAGCAAAAGAGCACAAACGGGGGGGCGGGGGCAAGGGGAGAGGGAGAAGCAGACUCCCCACUGAGCAGGAGCUUGAUGCAGGGCUCGAUCCUAGGACCUGGGAUCAUAACCUGAGCUGAAGGCAGAUGCUUAACCAAUUGAGCCACCCAGGCGCCCCAACUUUUCAACCCCUCUGCACUCCACUCCAAGGAAAAAGCAUUCUCCCUUUUUCCCUUAAGAUCAGCUUUUCUGCUUGUCCUCCUGAUAGUCCUUACAUCCUCUUUUCCUAUAUCCUUAGUCUCCUUCCUGCAUGGGCUACUUGUGCUCUAUGUGAUCAAGUCUCUCCUAUAAAAACUUUGUUGACUCCAAAUCCCUUUGAACCAACCUCUCUCCCCUGCCUUUCUUAAGCCAGGUAUCUUUAAGACCUGCCCACUUUCCACUCAUUCAUAAUCAUACUUUGUUGACUACCUACCGCGUUCUAGACCUGAUGCUAGGCAUUGGGCGUGAUGGCGGGCAGGACAGCACCGCGGCCUCGCGGAGUUCAGCCUCCCGGCCAAGGCUGAGCCCUCGCCAGGCCACCGAAACUGCUCAGAGCUGUCUGUACCCCACAUUCUGUGGCUCUUCUCAGCCCUUCCCCGUCAGCGGCACGAGGCGCUUGAGCCAUAAUCAAUAGCACCCUAAAACUUAACAGGAAUCCUCCUCCUGGGAUCCCUGGGUGGCGCAGCGGUUUGGCGCCUGCCUUUGGCCCAGGGCGCGAUCCUGGAGACCCGGGAUCGAGUCCCACGUCGGGCUCCCAGUGCGUGGAGCCUGCUUCUCUCUCUGCCUCUCUCUCUCUCCAUGUCUAUCAUAAAUAAAUAAAUCUUUAAAAAAAAAAAAAAAAAAAAAA
RNAcentral lists this long non-coding RNA (2082 nucleotides) under Canis lupus familiaris (dog). Its description in RNAcentral is "lncRNA (ENSCAFG00845030460.1)". The record is from RNAcentral. Lineage: Eukaryota; Metazoa; Chordata; Mammalia; Carnivora; Canidae.